Long non-coding RNA from Mesocricetus auratus (golden hamster), 920 nucleotides. RefSeq lists it as uncharacterized. Lineage: Eukaryota; Metazoa; Chordata; Mammalia; Rodentia; Cricetidae. The transcript has 3 exons. The record is from RefSeq and is a predicted model, not a curated record.
AUGUGCUGGCGUUUCCAUAGCAAGACAGCGGCUUCCGAUGGAAGAAUAGAUGAUGACCCUGUGUGGGUGUAUGCUGACUCAGACUUCUCAUCAGGGAUCCCAGACUGGAUCUCAAAUUGCCGCCUGCCUUCUGUUCUUGCUCGUCCAGCACUUUGUGGAGCUCAAGUCUAAAGUCCUGAAUGAGAACUGAUAAUGAAUAUCUGACCCCAGUAAGAACAAAGCAUUUCCAGAAACAAGACCGUAACCUGCAGAUUUGUCCACCAGCCAGAGCCAACUCCUUUCAUCAAGACUCAGGCCUUCACCAGGACUGAUGGCACACCUGUAAUCCCAGCAACUGAGAGAGCUCAGCCAGUGUGGAUGUUCUAACCAGUCUCGGAUUAUCUAACAGCAGUGAGGCACCCCUGAGUUCCCUUCCAGACUGAAGACACAAGAGAUACAAGAAAGGGAGGCACAUGACAGUUCCAGAUGUCCAGAGAAGCAGUGGAUAAUGCUCUAAGACCUCAGUCAUCUUGUGAUCCAAGACCAGCACAGUCGUGCAAACAGACCAACCCAUGCACUCCCUCCCUGCCCUAAGCUUUCAAGUUUUAAACUGGCAUACACUAAUUCCAAUAGUUUUGUUGUAAUAAAAGCAGUCCCCCCAUUACCCUUUCUUGUCCCCUUCCCACUUCUGCUGAUCACUGGCUCUUCUCAACUCAGUCCCUUCUUUCAUGUGUCCCAUCCCCCCAGUCUAAUGACAUUAGAGUUGCUUACAGGAAUAUGGACAACUUCCCAGUGGCUACACCUCUGGAUAAAAAGAAAGCUUUUUAACAAUCGUUUACUGUCUACGACCUUCAGGGAGGCGCAGGACCUUGUGAACUCUUCAUAUUUUGAAAUAUACAUGUAAAAGAUCAAUCCUAUAUAUUAAAGGUUGAUAGUCUUAA